RNAcentral lists this long non-coding RNA (818 nucleotides) under Portunus trituberculatus (swimming crab). Its description in RNAcentral is "uncharacterized LOC123502434, transcript variant X4". Lineage: Eukaryota; Metazoa; Arthropoda; Malacostraca; Decapoda; Portunidae. The record is from RNAcentral.
GGAUGAAGAAAAAGUGAGAAAUAAAGGUGGAAUAGGAGAAGUAGUCAAGGGGUAAUAUUUAGGUGACGACAGGCAGAAUGAGGUGGACGUGGCGGAGGCUGUGGGCAGUCAAUUCACGGCGCAGAUUACCUACGCCUUGCACCACGCUGACUGCCAGCCGCUGUUCAGUAAAGUCGGGCAAGCCUGUAUCUCCGUAUUCUGCCCUGGAUAUAGGAGUUAAACGUUGACGAGUGCGUGGAGUCGUCCAGAUCCUCUCCCUGUGGACCAUCCUCUCAGCAGCGUUCGAUCCCCCCCGCAGCAGCAACGGUCAUGAGAAGGCGGUCAUUGAAGUGUCAACUCCCCAAGCUGGCACGGUGGUGGGUGUUGUGCUGGGCUCCCUUGGGGUUCUUUGCCUAGCUGUUGGGUGUACAGAUGUUUGUCGGGUUCUUGAAGAUGCGUUGACGUGUUAUCAUCCACGCAAGCUUCCCCAACCCAGCCAGUGUACCACAAGACAACAAGCAUUCAGGAGGACGGGAGGAGGGAGCGAGCGGCUGCACGCAUUAUUGAACGGGACGGCAUUACAUUCUCCCCACAGCUGUAUGACUACACUGAAGCAAGCCCAGAAUAAAGUGUUGAGUGACCAUGAUACGUUGAUGAGUGCGUGGAGUCACCCAGAUCCUCUCCCUGUGGACCAUCCCCUCAGCACUGUUCGAUCCGCCCAGCAGCAGCAACGGUCAGGAGAAGGCGGUCAUUGAAGUGUCAAGUCUCCAAGCUGGUAUGGUGGAUUCAGUACUACUAACGCCAAAGAAGUGAGGCAAGUUUUUGGAGUGAGCGUGCAU